AACAUCCCUGAAGAAUUUUCAAGCCACGCAAUUUGAUCAUCAUGCUCUGGAAUAGGCACAAAAAUUGCAAGUGUAGCCUGUUGCAAUAUUUUGGAAAAUCCACUAAAUAGUGUCCCUAACAUCGUUUGUCGGCCUAGUAUAAAGAUUAUGUUCUUGAGUAUUCCUAAUGGAUAAGAGCAGCCAAAAUAAAUUAUAUAUUUUAGUGCAAAGUACUUCAAGAAUUUUCCAGUACAUAAUCAACAAAAGUGAAGUACAUAUACAAUACCAAAAAUAGGAAUUGAAUCCUGAGUUUUGUGACAUAAUAGUUGAUCAAGUAAAUUAGCUUUCUGCACUGGUUUUCUCUCAUGGCAUUCAAGUUCUUACCCAGAAAAGAAAAAGAAAAAAAACUGAAAUAGACAAAUUGCUCUUCAAAGAAAAAUUGAACAAUAAAAAUAAAACUACCAAAAAUUGCAGACCUCAAGAAUCAUACAAUCUGUCAAACGCCAAGUAAUAAACAAAUAAAUGAAAAAAAAAUGAAACUAACCUGGACGAUGUCUUGAGAGUUAAGAUUUGUGAGAUUAAUCCAAUCUUUUGCAAGAAAAAAUAGAGAAUUGAAGUUGAGAAACCCCAUAUUUAAGAAGCCCG
Molecule: long non-coding RNA, 624 nt
Filed under: Coffea arabica (coffee)
Lineage: Eukaryota; Viridiplantae; Streptophyta; Magnoliopsida; Gentianales; Rubiaceae
Description: long non-coding RNA (CARA_LNC000685)
Source: RNAcentral